CAAAAAAUAGUUUAUAAAAAAUAUUAAUUUUGGAAAUUAAUGUAAUAAAUUAUUAAUUUAUUUUUUUGA
This 69-nucleotide transfer RNA is filed under the name Chelonus munakatae. RNAcentral describes it as "tRNA-Pro". The record is from RNAcentral. Lineage: Eukaryota; Metazoa; Arthropoda; Insecta; Hymenoptera; Braconidae.